Molecule: ribosomal RNA, 526 nt
Filed under: uncultured Glomus
Lineage: Eukaryota; Fungi; Glomeromycota; Glomeromycetes; Glomerales; Glomeraceae
Description: SSU rRNA
Rfam family: Eukaryotic small subunit ribosomal RNA
Source: RNAcentral
AGCAGCCGCGGUAAUUCCAGCUCCAAUAGCGGUAUAUUAAAGUUGUUGCAGUUAAAAAGCUCGUAGUUGAAUUUCGAGACCGGUUUAUUGGUCGUGCUUUUGUACGUACUGGUAUAAUCGGUUUCUCUCUUCUGACGAACUAUAAUGCCAUUAAUUUGGUGUUAUGGGAAAUCAGGACUGUUACCUUGAAAAAAUUAGAGUGUUUAAAGCAGGCUCACGCUUGAAUACAUUAGCAUGGAAUAACGGAAUAGGACGUUUGAUUCUAUUUUGUUGGUUUCUAGGAUCGACGUAAUGAUUAAUAGGGAUAGUUGGGGGCAUUAGUAUUCAAUUGUUAGAGGUGAAAUUCUUGGAUUUAUUGAAGACUAACUACUGCGAAAGCAUUUUGCCAAGGAUGUUUUCAUUAAUCAAGAACGAAAGUUAGGGGAUCGAAGACGAUCAGAUACCGUCGUAGUCUUAACCAUAAAACUAUGCCGACUAGGGAUCGGGAUGAUGUUAAUUUUUAAUGACUUCAUUCGGCACCUUACAG